This 280-nucleotide ribosomal RNA is filed under the name uncultured bacterium. Its description in RNAcentral is "partial 16S ribosomal RNA". It matches the Rfam family "Bacterial small subunit ribosomal RNA", at positions 30 to 311 of the family's 1533-position model. The record is from RNAcentral.
AUUGAACGCUGGCGGCAUGCCUUACACAUGCAAGUCGAACGGCAGCACGGGAGCAAUCCUGGUGGCGAGUGGCGAACGGGUGAGUAAUAUAUCGGAACGUGCCCGGUCGUGGGGAUAACGUAGCGAAAGCUACGCUAAUACCGCAUACGAUCUACGGAUGAAAGCGGGGGAUCGCAAGACCUCGCGCGAUUGGAGCGGCCGAUAUCAGAUUAGGUAGUUGGUGAGGUAAAGGCUCACCAAGCCGACGAUCUGUAGCUGGUCUGAGAGGACGACCAGCCAC